Molecule: unclassified non-coding RNA, 319 nt
Filed under: plant metagenome
Description: partial contains 5.8S ribosomal RNA, internal transcribed spacer 2, and large subunit ribosomal RNA
Rfam family: 5.8S ribosomal RNA (bases 1-105)
Source: RNAcentral
GAAAUGCGAUAAGUAAUGUGAAUUGCAGAAUUCAGUGAAUCAUCGAAUCUUUGAACGCACAUUGCGCCCGCCAGAAUUCUGGCGGGCAUGCCUGUUCGAGCGUCAUUUCAACCCUCGAGCUCCCCUUGCGGGGGGAGCCCGGCGUUGGGGACGCGGCGCCAAACAGCGCCGGCCCCGAAAUGGAGUGGCGGCCCGUCCGCGGCGACCUCUGCGUAGUAACAUCCACUCGCACCGGGACCCGGGCGCGGCCACGCCGUAAAACACCCCACCUUCCGAAUGUUGACCUCGAAUCAGGUAGGAAUACCCGCUGAACUUAAGC